RNAcentral lists this ribosomal RNA (403 nucleotides) under uncultured bacterium. RNAcentral describes it as "bacterial SSU rRNA". It matches the Rfam family "Bacterial small subunit ribosomal RNA", at positions 356 to 773 of the family's 1533-position model. The record is from RNAcentral.
GGGGAAUAUUUCGCAAUGGGCGAAAGCCUGACGGAGCAACGCCGCGUGAGUGAUGAAGGAUUUCGGUUCGUAAAGCUCUGUUGCAGGGGAAAAAGAAAGUGAUUGUACUCUGCGAGAAAGGGACGGCCAACUUCGUGCCAGCAGCCGCGGUAAUACGAAGGUCCCUAGCGUUGUUCGGAAUUAUUGGGCGUAAAGAGCUCGUAGGUGGUUUUGUAAGUCAGGUGUGAAAGCCCCGAGCUCAACUCGGGAAGUGCACUUGAAACUGCUUAACUUGAGUACGGAAGAGGUAAGUGGAAUUCCUGGUGUAGUGGUGAAAUACGUAGAUAUCAGGAGGAACAUCGGCGGCGAAGGCGGCUUACUGGUCCAGUACUGACACUGAGGAGCGAAAGCAUGGGGAUCAAAC